RNAcentral lists this ribosomal RNA (372 nucleotides) under uncultured haloarchaeon. RNAcentral describes it as "bacterial SSU rRNA". It matches the Rfam family "Archaeal small subunit ribosomal RNA", at positions 1 to 371 of the family's 1478-position model. Lineage: Archaea; Methanobacteriati; Methanobacteriota; Halobacteria; Halobacteriales; Halobacteriaceae. The record is from RNAcentral.
AUUCCGGUUGAUCCUGCCGGAGGACAUUGCUAUUGGGAUUCGAUUUAGCCAUGCUAGUCGAGCGAGUUCAGACUCGCGGCGAAUAGCUCAGUAACACGUGGCCAAACUCCCCUUCAGUCGAGCGAUACCCUCGGGAAACUGAGGUUAACAGCUGAUACAAAACGCCAGCUGGAAUGCGGCGUUUCAGAAAGACAUCGCUGAAGGAUGCGGCUGCGGCCGAUUAGGUAGACGGUGGGGUAACGGCCCACCGUGCCAGUAAUCGGUACGGGUGAUAUGAGAGUCAGUAGCCCGGUAGACGGAUCUGAGACAAGAUUCCGGGCCCUACGGGGCGCAGCAGGCGCGAUAACCUUUACACUGCACGGAUAGUGCGAU